CCUACGGGAGGCAGCAGUGAGGAAUAUUGGUCAAUGGACUAGAGUCUGAACCAGCCAAGUAGCGUGAAGGAUGACUGCCCUAUGGGUUGUAAACUUCUUUUAUAUGGGAAUAAAAUGUUCCACGUGUGGGAUUUUGUAUGUACCAUAUGAAUAAGGAUCGGCUAACUCCGUGCCAGCAGCCGCGGUAAUACGGAGGAUCCGAGCGUUAUCCGGAUUUAUUGGGGUUAAAGGGAGCGUAGGUGGAUUGUUAAGUCAGUUGUGAAAGUUUGCGGCUCAACCGUAAAAUUGCAGUUGAAACUGGCAGUCUUGAGUACAGUAGAGGUGGGCGGAAUUCGUGGUGUAGCGGUGAAAUGCUGAGAUAUCACGAAGAACUCCGAUUGCGAAGGCAGUUCACUGGACUGCAACUGACACUGAGGCUCGAAAGUGUGGGUAUCAAACAGGAUUAGAUACCCCUGUAGUC
RNAcentral lists this ribosomal RNA (460 nucleotides) under uncultured bacterium. Its description in RNAcentral is "partial 16S ribosomal RNA". It matches the Rfam family "Bacterial small subunit ribosomal RNA", at positions 338 to 795 of the family's 1533-position model. The record is from RNAcentral.